RNAcentral lists this ribosomal RNA (250 nucleotides) under uncultured bacterium. RNAcentral describes it as "partial 16S ribosomal RNA". It matches the Rfam family "Bacterial small subunit ribosomal RNA", at positions 524 to 773 of the family's 1533-position model. The record is from RNAcentral.
UACGGAGGGGGCAAGCGUUACUCGGAAUUAUUGGGCGUAAAGGGCGCGUAGGCGGUCCCGCGCGCCGGAGGUGAAAUACCCGGGCUUAACCCGGGAGGUGCCUCCGAUACGGCGGGACUUGAGUCCGGGAGAGGGGAGCAGAAUUCCCAGUGUAGCGGUGAAAUGCGUAGAUAUUGGGAGGAAUACCAGUGGCGAAGGCGGCUCCCUGGACCGGUACUGACGCUGAGGCGCGAAAGCUAGGGGAGCAAAC